GUGGCUUAAUUUGACUCAACGCGGGGAAUCUUACCGGGUCCGGACACACUGAGGAUUGACAGACAGUUGUCUUUCCCUCCCUUCGGGGUGGGAUUACAAAAGAUAACAGAUCUUUCAUGAUCAUGUGAUGGGUGGUGCAUGGCCGUUCUUAGUUCGUGGAGUGAUCUGUCUGCUUAAUUGCGUUUCAAAUUUUAUAUUUGUUAACAUGCGAGUCUUCAAUGACGGCCACUCCACCUUAUAGACAUUAUAUGAUAUGCACAUUUGUGUAUUUGAUUAUAACUUGUCUGGAGUCUGGCUCGAUUUUUUUGACUCAAUUGAACGCAACGGACGUGAUUGCAAGUCCUUGUUGAACAAAUUAUAUAUAUACUACUUCAUCAUUAGUAUAUAUAGUUCGCUUCUCAUGUCGUAGCAGUCAAACGGGCGGGCGUCUUAAUUGGCGCGGUCACGAGGCUUAAUAUGCUGCGGCUGGGAAAACUUGGGCGACCGCUGUAAUACUUCUCUCUUAAACCAGAGGAAGAUUGCGGCAAUAACAGG
This 534-nucleotide ribosomal RNA is filed under the name Globigerinella siphonifera. RNAcentral describes it as "SSU rRNA". It matches the Rfam family "Eukaryotic small subunit ribosomal RNA", at positions 1185 to 1460 of the family's 1831-position model. The record is from RNAcentral. Lineage: Eukaryota; Foraminifera; Rotaliida; Globigerinidae.